CCCAAAUGGCCCUGGGUAGUCAUUUACGCUCUACAUUUACCUCUAACCUCCUUCCCAGGGCGACAGUCAACGUACAUCCAUCUCUGAAAGUUUAGCCACAAAGGGAUUAAGUUCUACGUUCAGGACAGAACAUCCUCCUUCAGAACCUGAAGCUAUGACUCCCCCUUCCCUAACAGAGGAGCCCGUGCGUCCUAGCUAGAACCAGCCGUUUGGCGCCACCUGCUGGACACAAGCAGUCACAGGUUGGGGGAAAUUCGGUCAUGCUUAAGGAAUCAAGUGCCCACUGAUGCUCAUCCCUGGGACGGUUCUGAAGAAGUGUUCCCACUGGAUUGAUGCUCUAUAUCCCUUUAUGACAAAUCUCCCCAACCUUUAAUAAAUAUCUCAAAAGCGAAGGGUCUUUCCUACUACAUCCUAUUCCCUCUGCAGUUUCAUAAAGCGCCUAUGUUUUAUUUAGUCAAGCAAGUCACGAGAACGAAGGAGCCCCACAACAAAACCAUCAACAAAUAGAGGGCAGAAGCCACAUUUCCUCUGUCACUGUAUCCUUAGAACUGGCACGUGGUAGCAGCUCUGGAAUUUAUUUUGUUUUGUUUUCGUGGCUUUUGAAUAAGACAGUAAGUAAGUAUCAUCUGAGGUGGGUAAAUCUGACAUACAGAAGUCUUUCUUUGAAGACAGAGUUUUCUAGACUACUCUGCCUGGGUGGCUCCUAAAAAGCUCCUAACCAGGAA
Long non-coding RNA from Prionailurus viverrinus (fishing cat), 725 nucleotides. RefSeq lists it as uncharacterized. NCBI's taxonomy places the organism in Eukaryota, Metazoa, Chordata, Mammalia, Carnivora, Felidae. The record is from RefSeq and is a predicted model, not a curated record. The transcript has 3 exons.